RNAcentral lists this ribosomal RNA (994 nucleotides) under uncultured Klebsiella sp. RNAcentral describes it as "bacterial SSU rRNA". It matches the Rfam family "Bacterial small subunit ribosomal RNA", at positions 508 to 1502 of the family's 1533-position model. Lineage: Bacteria; Pseudomonadati; Pseudomonadota; Gammaproteobacteria; Enterobacterales; Enterobacteriaceae. The record is from RNAcentral.
CCAGCCGCCGUGGUAAUACGGAGGGUGCAAGCGUUAAUCGGAAUUACUGGGCGUAAAGCGCACGCAGGCGGUCUGUCAAGUCGGAUGUGAAAUCCCCGGGCUCAACCUGGGAACUGCAUUCGAAACUGGCAGGCUAGAGUCUUGUAGAGGGGGGUAGAAUUCCAGGUGUAGCGGUGAAAUGCGUAGAGAUCUGGAGGAAUACCGGUGGCGAAGGCGGCCCCCUGGACAAAGACUGACGCUCAGGUGCGAAAGCGUGGGGAGCAAACAGGAUUAGAUACCCUGGUAGUCCACGCCGUAAACGAUGUCGAUUUGGAGGUUGUGCCCUUGAGGCGUGGCUUCCGGAGCUAACGCGUUAAAUCGACCGCCUGGGGAGUACGGCCGCAAGGUUAAAACUCAAAUGAAUUGACGGGGGCCCGCACAAGCGGUGGAGCAUGUGGUUUAAUUCGAUGCAACGCGAAGAACCUUACCUGGUCUUGACAUCCACAGAACUUAGCAGAGAUGCUUUGGUGCCUUCGGGAACUGUGAGACAGGUGCUGCAUGGCUGUCGUCAGCUCGUGUUGUGAAAUGUUGGGUUAAGUCCCGCAACGAGCGCAACCCUUAUCCUUUGUUGCCAGCGGUUAGGCCGGGAACUCAAAGGAGACUGCCAGUGAUAAACUGGAGGAAGGUGGGGAUGACGUCAAGUCAUCAUGGCCCUUACGACCAGGGCUACACACGUGCUACAAUGGCAUAUACAAAGAGAAGCGACCUCGCGAGAGCAAGCGGACCUCAUAAAGUAUGUCGUAGUCCGGAUUGGAGUCUGCAACUCGACUCCAUGAAGUCGGAAUCGCUAGUAAUCGUAGAUCAGAAUGCUACGGUGAAUACGUUCCCGGGCCUUGUACACACCGCCCGUCACACCAUGGGAGUGGGUUGCAAAAGAAGUAGGUAGCUUAACCUUCGGGAGGGCGCUUACCACUUUGUGAUUCAUGACUGGGGUGAAGUCGUAACAAGGUAACCA